AAUAUUGGACAAUGGGCGCAAGCCUGAUCCAGCCAUGCCGCGUGAGUGAUGAAGGCCUUAGGGUUGUAAAGCUCUUUGUCCGGGAAGAUAAUGACUGUACCGGAAGAAUAAGCCCCGGCUAACUUCGUGCCAGCAGCCGCGGUAAUACGAAGGGGGCUAGCGUUGCUCGGAAUCACUGGGCGUAAAGGGCGCGUAGGCGGACUCUUAAGUCGGGGGUGAAAGCCCAGGGCUCAACCCUGGAAUUGCCUUCGAUACUGAGAGUCUUGAGUUCGGAAGAGGUUGGUGGAACUGCGAGUGUAGAGGUGAAAAUUCGUAGAUAUUCGCAAGAACACCAGUGGCGAAGGCGGCCAACUGGUCCGAUACUGACGCUGAGGCGCGAAAGCGUGGGGAGCAAACAGGAUUAGAUACCCUGGUAG
Molecule: ribosomal RNA, 416 nt
Filed under: uncultured bacterium
Lineage: Bacteria
Description: bacterial SSU rRNA
Rfam family: Bacterial small subunit ribosomal RNA
Source: RNAcentral